GACGAACGCUGGCGGCGUGCUUAACACAUGCAAGUCGAGCGGUAAGGCCCUUUCGGGGGUACACGAGCGGCGAACGGGUGAGUAACACGUGGGUGACCUGCCUUUAGCUCUGGGAUAAGCCUGGGAAACCGGGUCUAAUACCGGAUACGACUCCGCGGUGCAUGCUGUGGGGUGGAAAGCCUUGUGCGGCUGGAGAUGGGCCCGCGGCCUAUCAGCUUGUUGGUGGGGUGAUGGCCUACCAAGGCGACGACGGGUAGCCGGCCUGAGAGGGCGACCGGCCACACUGGGACUGAGACACGGCCCAGACUCCUACGGGAGGCAGCAGUGGGGAAUCUUGCGCAAUGGGCGAAAGCCUGACGUAGCGACGCCGCGUGAGGGAUGAC
This 383-nucleotide ribosomal RNA is filed under the name uncultured bacterium. Its description in RNAcentral is "bacterial SSU rRNA". It matches the Rfam family "Bacterial small subunit ribosomal RNA", at positions 28 to 412 of the family's 1533-position model. The record is from RNAcentral.